Strigops habroptila (Kakapo) is the source of this 2142-nucleotide long non-coding RNA. RefSeq lists it as uncharacterized. The record is from RefSeq and is a predicted model, not a curated record. NCBI's taxonomy places the organism in Eukaryota, Metazoa, Chordata, Aves, Psittaciformes, Psittacidae. The transcript has 7 exons.
GGCGCCGUCCGCCGGGUGGAGGAGCGCGGGGCUGGCGGGAGGGAGCCGGCUGGCGGUGGGUCCGGUCCCGGUCACGCCCGGCAGAUGGGGAGGUGGGUGCAGUCUGCCAUUGAGCCAGCACCCCAGAGACGCCUGUGGACCCACCCAAGGCAGCACCAGUGAGGACCCUUCCAUGCCACGGUGGACUCCAGAGGUGUAGGAACCCCCUUGGAUGUUACAGAAACACGGUCAGAGCCCUCUUCACACAGGGAAUUCUCCCUGAAGGUCUCAAAAGCUGAACUGCUUCUAAUUGACAUGCCAAAGCAGAAUCUAUUUCUCAUGUGCCCUGCACUCAGCUGUCAGUCUUGCCUGCAAUGCUGUAAAGCAGAUCCUGCUGAGAAAGAGCCUGGCUGAUGGGAGACCUGUAGUUCCUGUGCACCUCCUUGAACAUCAGGAGGAGUCAACUGGGAUGACUGGACAAGCCCAUUUCUUUCCCUUGUCCUCUAAGAUCAGGUCUGCUGUUUUGUCAUUGGAGUAUAUUUUCUAGUGUGCGUUAUAAGAAAACCCAUACAUGAAGAAAAGAAAAAAGAAGUAAAUAGAAAACAAACCACAGGCAUGGCCAUUGAUUUUUCUGGAGAAUGGAUGACCUGCCUUCUUCAAGUGUCCAGACCUGCUGCAGAGAAUAUGCAAGGUACAAGAUAAAUGCAGUUGGAGUGCAUCUUGACUUGCAUCAAGAAAUCAAAACAGGCAUGAAGGAGAAUACGGAGUGGACCGCCACACAGUGUGCAGCUCUUCUCAGUUGACCUGCAGCAGCCAAAGUUCUCCCCAACGCAGCUGUACUGAGGAUUUUAGCCAUGGUUCACUAAAGACAAGUGGGCUCAUACUCUAAGGCAUGGCAUUGGCACUUGGAACUGCAGAUAGAUGUGAAGUUGCCCUGUGAGCAUAACACCUGCCAGCAUGGCUCCCACAGCAGCCAGCACAUGCCAUGGUGUGCCCUGAGUUGCCCAGCCCUGUUCCUGCUGGGACUCAUGCUCCUGGUUCUUCUCUGCAUUUCUCUGCUGAGGUGAGACAGCCUGGUGCUGCAGACUUGCAGCAGUAGGGUGUGCUGCAGUUUGUUAACCUGGUACUCACAGUGCUCAUCUGGAACACAGGAAAACCUGGGAUCCCAUUUCUCCUGUGGCUGGGAAGGCCAAGGAUUUCUGGGCACAGCUGGUUUGCAUUCCCCAGAGGAGGAAUCAUUGUUCCCGCAGCAGACACUGUUUGCUUUGCACAGCUAUGGAAGCUGGCCACAGGGCCGGAGGCAGCAGCAAGACCCUUGGCGCUGUCACAGAGCUGCUGGUGGCUUUGCCUGCAACUCCGAUACCCAGUGGCAGUGCUACUCCCAGCGAUGCUUGUGGUGCGAGGUGGAGCACCCACAGCCAGAGGCUGUGUGCUGCACAGCUGCUCGCCUUUGUACUGAGGCACGACUGGAGUGAGCAAGAUGUGGGACACAAGGUCCUCCAGGCAGAGUCUUAAUUAGAUCCCUAAUCUAAUCUGAUUAGAUAGAUGAACUCUAUCUAACCUGUGGUCACUGAGCAAGAGGACAUUGCUUGUAGGCUGAGGCACCCAUCUCCAGGAGGCAGUUCAUGGCUGUGAGUGAUGCUUCCAUGGGAAACAAAAGUCGGUGGUGGCAGGUGAGCAGAGACACAGUGAACUGUGGAGCAGGCGUCUGCGCACAAAUAUCUAAAAAGGCUGGAGCUAUCUCACCUUUCUUGUUGGCAUGAGAUGAUUCCACUUGGCACUAUGUGACGUCAACAUGCUAAGUUUAAUUUUGGAUCCAAAGCAUUAGACUAGCGUUUCCACAGAAUUUUGGGACUUUGGAAAUGUUCUGUUGUUUUACAGCACAAGCUCAUGGAAUAAAAUCAUCCUUCAGGGACAAAAUAAAACAGAUGAAAAAUAAGCACUCAUGUAAGGUCUGAAUGUUGAGGCAGUCUCAAAGCGGUGGUCUUUCUGCUUGUUUUCCAUCAAGUUCAGGACCAACUCUGAGGAGGAUUUGACUCAGUUUAGGGAGGCAGAAAAAAAUUGUAUGCUUUAAAUAAAAGGAGAACCGCUGAAUAAGAAGAUUUUACAAAAAGCUAUUUAUUUUCCUAGGCAAGACAUCCAGAUCAAAAGUGAGUGGUGAUU